GACGAACGCUGGCGGCGUGGAUUAGGCAUGCAAGUCGAACGGUAUCAUCCUUUCGGGGGUGAGAGAGUGGCGAACUGGUGAGUAACACGUAGGUUAUCUACCCUCAAGACGGGGACAACCCAGGGAAACUUGGGCUAAUACCGGAUGUGAGCAACUUUUAGUUGUUUGAAAGGUGGCGUAAGCUGUCGCUUGGGGAUGAGCCUGCGUCCUAUUAGUUAGUUGGUGAGGUAACGGCUCACCUAGGCAAUGAUAGGUAGGCGGCCUUAACGGGGUGGUCGCCCACACUGGGAUUGAGAUACGGCCCAGACUCCUACGGGAGGCAGCAGUCGAGAAUAGUCUACAAUGGUCGGAAGACUGAUAGUGCGACGCCGCGUGAACGAUGAAUCCCUUCGGGGUGUAAAGUUCUUUUAUAUGUGAGCAGUGCUUCUUAUAUUAACAGUAUGGGGAGAGAGAUAUUAGCAUAUGAAUAAGCAACGGCUAACUCCGUGCCAGCAGCCGCGGUAA
This 504-nucleotide ribosomal RNA is filed under the name uncultured bacterium. RNAcentral's name for it is "bacterial SSU rRNA". It matches the Rfam family "Bacterial small subunit ribosomal RNA", at positions 28 to 523 of the family's 1533-position model. The record is from RNAcentral.